RNAcentral lists this ribosomal RNA (466 nucleotides) under uncultured bacterium. RNAcentral describes it as "bacterial SSU rRNA". It matches the Rfam family "Bacterial small subunit ribosomal RNA", at positions 329 to 792 of the family's 1533-position model. The record is from RNAcentral.
GUCCAGACUCCUACGGGAGGCAGCAGUGAGGAAUAUUGGUCAAUGGGCGCGAGCCUGAACCAGCCAAGUCGCGUGAGGGAUGACGGCCCUACGGGUUGUAAACCUCUUUUGUCGGGGAGCAAAUUCCGUUACGUGUAACGGAGUCGAGAGUACCCGAAGAAAAAGCAUCGGCUAACUCCGUGCCAGCAGCCGCGGUAAUACGGAGGAUGCGAGCGUUAUCCGGAUUUAUUGGGUUUAAAGGGUGCGCAGGCGGAUUUUUAAGUCAGCGGUCAAAUCGUGGGGCUCAACCCCAUCCAGCCGUUGAAACUGGGGAUCUAGAGUGUGCGAGAGGUAUGCGGAAUGCGUGGUGUAGCGGUGAAAUGCAUAGAUAUCACGCAGAACUCCGAUUGCGAAGGCAGCAUGCCGGCUCCACACUGACGCUGAGGCACGAAAGCGUGGGUAUCGAACAGGAUUAGAUACCCCAGUA